RNAcentral lists this ribosomal RNA (125 nucleotides) under Pelobates cultripes (western spadefoot toad). Its description in RNAcentral is "SSU_rRNA_eukarya". Lineage: Eukaryota; Metazoa; Chordata; Amphibia; Anura; Pelobatidae. The record is from RNAcentral.
AUAACAAUACAGGACUCUUGCGAGGCCCUGUAAUUGGAAUGAGUACACUUUAAAUCCUUUAACGAGGAUCUUUUGGAGGGCAAGUCUGGUGCAGAGCGACUGACCCGUGCGUGCUGCAGCUGAAA